RNAcentral lists this ribosomal RNA (521 nucleotides) under uncultured bacterium. RNAcentral's name for it is "bacterial SSU rRNA". It matches the Rfam family "Bacterial small subunit ribosomal RNA", at positions 1 to 520 of the family's 1533-position model. The record is from RNAcentral.
GGAUCCAGACUUUGAUUAUGGCUCAGAACGAACGCUGGCGGCAGGCCUAACAUAUGCAAGUCGAGCGGUAACAUUUCUAGCNUGCUAGAAGAUGACGAGCGGCGGACGGGUGAGUAACGCGUAGGAAUCUACCCAGUAGUGGGGGACAACAGUUGGAAACGACUGCUAAUACCGCAUACGCCCUACGGGGGAAAGGGGGCUUCGGCUCUCGCUAUUGGAUGAGCCUGCGUGAGAUUAGCUAGUUGGUAAGGUAAUGGCUUACCAAGGCAACGAUCUCUAGCUGGUUUGAGAGGAUGAUCAGCCACACUGGGACUGAGACACGGCCCAGACUCCUACGGGAGGCAGCAGUGGGGAAUAUUGCACAAUGGGCGCAAGCCUGAUGCAGCCAUGCCGCGUGUGUGAAGAAGGCCUUCGGGUUGUAAAGCACUUUCAGCAGUGAGGAAAGGUCAGUAGUUAAUACCUGCUGGCUGUGACGUUAACUGCAGAAGAAGCACCGGCUAACUCCGUGCCAGCAGCCGCGG